UCCAGGUGGAGGUUUAGCUGUUGGAACCCUUCUUCUUAUUGGAUAAAACAAAAUUCACUGUGGAGAAAUACCUGGGCUACUGAUCUCAGUGUCUGCAAAGUUGGGGCUGGAAAUAAAAGAUGCAAAAAUAUCAAAAUUUCCAUGAUUAAUAUGAGACUUAUUUGGUAUUAUAUUGGACCCUGCAAAACUGCCAAAAUCAGCAUUAAUAAAAAUUAUAAUUCUGAUAAAAAUAAUGAGGACCCCAUAAACCUGCUUGUUCAAUAGUGCAGUGUUCUUGGAGAAACAAAAUAUAAAUAAUGAUUCUGAUCUGGUAGUCCUUCAAGCAAAAUUCCCAUUGACUUAAAUUGGCACCAAUGGGAAAUAUAAGGAUAGCAAAUAAGAUAAGUCAUUGUUAACUGUUGGAGGAAAACUGCUCUAGAGUGAUGUAUGAGGCUGUUCAACCUCAACAACUUUGAGAAAAUUAUGUGAGACAAACAACUAUGACAUUUAGUCUUGUUUCUUAGAGAUUAGAGAAGACUAAAUAAAUGGAAAUCCUAUUCUUGUAUGUAUGCAUCAGGUGGAAACUUUUUCGAACAGUAAUCAACAUACAUAUACAUUUGUAUGUUCACUUUUAUUCAUAAUGCAUGCAUCGUAUACAUAUAUAUUAAACACCAAAAAGUAUUAAAGGUUUAAUACAAAUUGACAUUUCAGAAUAUUCAGUAAAAUUGACAGUUAUAUGCUUCUGUAAAGGGAUUGGGAACGGUGAAUUGGCUUGUGUUUGACUCAAAUUAUUACAACCAUAAUGAUAUAUAAAGGGUGCAGCUUCUUUAGUAGCAUUAGUUUUUUUUUUGUUUUAUGUACAUUUUAAUACCUAUGGAAGUACCACAAAACUGGUUCAGUAUAGAUAACAGAAGUACAGUCUUCCCCAUUCUGCUCUACUAAUAUCCCUUUAGCCAUAAGUAGCCAUCUUUACAGCUAAGAGCUAAUUUAAUCUCUCUGACCAUUCAAAUCUAACUUCAAAAAGAUCUUUAUUGGAAUGAAAAUCUACUCAAGUGUGGCCAAAGUGGGAACAAGGACAUACUCUGUUCGGCGGUAGUUUCGAGACAUCAAGCAUCUGACCAAGAUAUGGUUUCACAAUAUUAAGAAAUUUAAUCAUUUAUAUCUAGUUGUCAAAGAUUAUAAAGACCAAAAGGGACCACAGUGUUCAUCUGUUUACUACCGCUUGUAUAACACAGGCCAUAGGACUUCCCUGAAUUAAUUCCUGUUUGAGUAGACCAUAUCCUUUUUAUAAAAAUAUAUAAUCUUGAUUUUAAAAACUUCAGUGUUUGAGAAUCAACCAUGACUCUUGGUAAAUUAUUCCAAUGGUUAAUUACCCUCCCUGUAACAAAUGUGCACCUUAUUGCUAAUCUAAAUUUGUCUAGCUUCAACUUCCAGCCUUUGGAUCUUGUUCCUCCUGUAUAGACUGUGAUCAAGUCCCCUAUUAACCUUUAUUUUGUUAAACUAAAUAGAUUGAGCUCCUUAAAUCUAUAGGGCAUGUUUUCCAAUUAUUUAAACAUUCUUGUGGCUCUUUGAACUGACUCCAGUUCAUCAACAUCCUUCUUGAAUUGUGGAUACCAGAAAUGGACACUAUUCCAGUAGCUGCUGCCCCAGUCACAAAUACAGAGGUAAUAUAACCUCCCUAUUCCUACUUGAUAAUUCUCUGUUUACACAACCAGGGAUCGCAGUAGUCCUUUUGGUCACCGCUUCACAGCUCUUGUUCAGUUGAUUAUCCACCAUGGUCCCCAAUUUCUUUUCAGAGUCGCUGCUUCCCAGGAUAGAGACCACUAUCCUGUGGGUAUGACCUAUAUUCUUUGUCCUAAAUUUAUGACUUUACAUUUUGCUACGUUUAAAAAUUCCUUGCUUCCAGUUUACCAAAUGAUCCAGGCUGCUCGGUAUCAGUGACCUGUCCUCUUAAUUAUUUACUAUUCACACAAUCUUUGUAUCAUCUACAAACUUUAUUAGUAAUGGCUUUGUUUUCUUCCAGGUCAUUGAUAAAAAUGUUAAAUAGUGAAGGCUAAAAACUGCUUCCUGCAGGACUGCACUGGAAACAUACCCCUUCAGUCAUUACUCCCCAUUUACAAUUACAUUUUGAUCUAGUUUUGAAAUCCAUUUUACGUGUGCCAUGUUGAUUUUUGUAUCAUUCUAGUUUCUUAAUCCAAAUGUCAUAUAGUACCAAGUGAAAUGCCUUGCACAAGCCAAUUACGUCAAUACAGUUAUUUUUAUCAACCAAAUUUGUAAUGUAAAGGCCUGUAUUUACUGAGGUUAUUAUAUUUACCCUCUUUAAAUAUUGGCACAACAUUAG
Gopherus evgoodei (Goodes thornscrub tortoise) is the source of this 2320-nucleotide long non-coding RNA. Lineage: Eukaryota; Metazoa; Chordata; Testudines; Testudinidae. The record is from Ensembl.